AGGACGAACGCUGGCGGCGUGCUUAACACAUGCAAGUCGAGCGGAAAGGCCCUUCGGGGUACUCGAGCGGCGAACGGGUGAGUAACACGUGAGUAAUCUGCCCCUAGCUCUGGGAUAGCUCCGGGAAACCGGGAUUAAUACCGGAUACGAUCACCUUAGACAUCUUUUGUGGUGGAAAGAAUUUCGGCUAGGGAUGAGCUCGCGGCCUAUCAGCUUGUUGGUGGGGUAACGGCCUACCAAGGCGACGACGGGUAGCCGGCCUGAGAGGGCGACCGGCCACGACUCGGGACUGAGACACGGCCCAGACUCCUACGGGAGGCAGCAGUGGGGAAUAUUGCGCAAUGGGCGAAAGCCUGACGCAGCGACGCCGCGUGGGGGAUGAAGGCCUUCGGGUUGUAAACCCUUUCAGCAGGGACGAAGCGAAAGUGACGGUACCUGCAGAAGAAGCGCCGGCUAACGUACGUGUCAGCAGCCGC
Molecule: ribosomal RNA, 476 nt
Filed under: uncultured bacterium
Lineage: Bacteria
Description: SSU rRNA
Rfam family: Bacterial small subunit ribosomal RNA
Source: RNAcentral